This 73-nucleotide transfer RNA is filed under the name Paramuricea clavata. It matches the Rfam family "tRNA". From Rfam's summary of the family: Transfer RNA (tRNA) molecules are approximately 80 nucleotides in length. The record is from Rfam by way of RNAcentral. Lineage: Eukaryota; Metazoa; Cnidaria; Anthozoa; Malacalcyonacea; Plexauridae.
GACCGCGUAGCUCAGCUGGAAGAGCAUUGGGCUAGUAUGCCAAAGGUCGUAGGUUCGAAUCCCGCCGUGGCCA